GUAGGCGAAGCGGUCUGGAAAGACCCGUCAGAGAAGGUAACAACCCUGUAGCCAAAACCUUGUUCUCUCCUGAGGUGAUCCUGAGUACGGCGGGACACGUGAAAUCCCGUCGGAAGCAGGGAGGACCAUCUCCCAAGGCUAAAUACUCCCUAGUGACCGAUAGUGAACCAGUACCGUGAGGGAAAGGUGAAAAGCACCCCGGGAGGGGAGUGAAAUAGAACCUGAAACCGUGUGCCUACAAGUAGUUAGAGCCCGUUAAUGGGUGAUAGCGUGCCUUUUGUAGAAUGAACCGGCGAGUUACGAUUACGUGCGAGGUUAAGGGCAUUAGGCCUGGAGCCGGAGCGAAAGCGAGUCUGAAAGGGGCGAUGAGUACGGUGUCGUAGACCCGAAACCGAGUGAUCUAGCCAUGCGCAGGGUGAAGGUUGGGUAAAGCCAAC
This 437-nucleotide ribosomal RNA is filed under the name Pseudomonas aeruginosa. Its description in RNAcentral is "partial 23S ribosomal RNA". It matches the Rfam family "Bacterial large subunit ribosomal RNA", at positions 329 to 766 of the family's 2925-position model. Lineage: Bacteria; Pseudomonadati; Pseudomonadota; Gammaproteobacteria; Pseudomonadales; Pseudomonadaceae. The record is from RNAcentral.